Molecule: long non-coding RNA, 292 nt
Filed under: Malus domestica (apple)
Lineage: Eukaryota; Viridiplantae; Streptophyta; Magnoliopsida; Rosales; Rosaceae
Description: long non-coding RNA (MDOM_LNC002806)
Source: RNAcentral
AGAAGGCUGCACGGCUUGUUUAAUGAAUUGGGGCUUGCGUGAUGAAAUGGUUCGUCAGGCAACGUUACCAAAGUCGUCGAACAAAUGUUAUUCAUCGGACAAAUUCACUAAAAAAACGUCAGACAAAAUGUGUUGGUAGGGAUUAGGGCAGGUCAUCGUGGUUCUUUGUCCGACGACCGACAUACUUACCCCCGUCAAUUUUCCAUCAGCCAAAGUUACCUCCGCCGAUGUACCUAUUCUUCUGUCAGGAUGCUGGCGUAAUUCGUGCCAAUUUUCUCUCUUGGCACAAAAA